Long non-coding RNA from Dromiciops gliroides (monito del monte), 641 nucleotides. RefSeq lists it as uncharacterized. Lineage: Eukaryota; Metazoa; Chordata; Mammalia; Microbiotheria; Microbiotheriidae. The transcript is spliced from 3 exons. The record is from RefSeq and is a predicted model, not a curated record.
CCAGGCAUCUACCAUCACCUGGACCAGAGACCAUGGCCCAGAAGUUUGAACGCUUUCAUCUCCAGAAACACAGCUGUGGCUGCUUUAACUGGACCAUGAUUUCAGAAAAGGCAGAAGAAUAAUCCCAGCAAGGUAAGCACCAGAGAUAACAGAUGUGUUUUCCAAAGAUUAUCCCCAAGAGACUCAGACUAAAGGUUCUAAUGGAUGCAGAUGUCCUGAAAAGCAGCAAGUUUAUCCUGUAACCUUGCCAAGCUACCACAUUUUUGGAAUAACAUUCAUGGUGAUGUCCAAAUCCUGUGAGGAUCAGAUGAAGGAACUGGACCUGUUUAGACUAUAGAAGAAAAUACCAAAGUGGGGAGGGGACUGUUAUAGUGAAAGGGAAGAAAUUAAAACAGCUAUUCUGGAUACUAAAGCCCUGUAAUGUAGAGGACAGAUGAUAUUUGUUCUUUGACUAUAGAGGACAGGACCAGGAGAAAAAGAUGCAAGUUUCCACUACCCACCAAUCAGAGCUAUACCAAAGUGGAAUGUCUUCUUCAUUAGGAGUUGAUGUGGAGACAGAACUGGUCUGAGUACUUCAGAUGGACCCUGAAGCAGGACAGAGCACAGUUAGGACCACCAGCUCUCCACCCUGAAGUUUUCGA